Molecule: ribosomal RNA, 1632 nt
Filed under: Triticum aestivum (bread wheat)
Lineage: Eukaryota; Viridiplantae; Streptophyta; Magnoliopsida; Poales; Poaceae
Description: partial small subunit ribosomal RNA
Source: RNAcentral
AUGUCGGCGCCGCCCUCUCUCAAGUCCCCGGCCACCGCCGCCUUCCUCGCCUCCCCAUGCUUGGCCGUCGCCCCGAGAGCCGCCGUGCUCGGCGCCACUGCGCAGCCGCCGCGACGCCUAAGCUGCUCUGCAGCCGUUGGAGCCGAAGCCAGGGAUCUCGAGGUGAUGAGUGCUCCCCUGGACUGGGCGGCGAGGUCGGUGGGGGAGCUGGAGCAAGCGACAGACCUGGACACUUUCUGUAUGAUGGCGCUAUCACCUCUGGACGGCCGAUACUUCAGAUUUAUUAAGGACUUGAUGCCCUUCUUCAGUGAGUUCGGCCUCAUCAGAUACCGCGUCUUAGUCGAGGUCAGAUGGUUGCUGAAGCUUUCUCAAAUUCCUGAGGUCAAGGAGGUGCCGCCGUUUAGUGAGGAGGCCCAACUAUUUCUGGAUGCAAUCAUCCAAGAUUUUAGCAUCAAUGAUGCUAAAGAGGUGAAACAAAUUGAGAAAAUAACUAACCACGAUGUGAAGGCUGUUGAGUACUAUCUGAAGCAGAAAUGCAGCUCAAAUCCAGAGGUUGCAAAGGUUUUGGAAUUCUUCCAUUUUGGAUGCACUUCUGAAGAUAUCAACAACUUGUCACAUGCAUUAGCUCUAAAAGAGGGGGUAAACACAAUUAUGUUCCCUGUGAUGAUCGAUGUAUGCAGUGCAAUAUGUUCCUUGGCAACGGAAAAUGCACACGUCCCUUUGCUGUCUAAAACUCACGGACAGCCGGCAUCACCAACAACUCUGGGAAAAGAGAUGGCAAAUUUUGCAGCCAGAUUAUCUGAUAUCGGGAAGAGUUUUUCUGAGGUUAAGAUACUAGGGAAAUUUGCUGGCGCUGUUGGAAAUUACAAUGCUGAUGUAGUUGCAUAUCCGGAAAUUGACUGGCCUAAGAUGACAGAAGAGUUUGUCAGGUCCUUAGGUUUGGAGUUCAAUCCUUACGUUACUCAGAUUGAACCUCAUGACUAUAUCUCAAAGCUCUUCAAUCUAUUUGUCCAGUUUAACAUUGUCUUGACUGAUUUUGACAGAGACAUGUGGUCUUACAUAUCAGCAGGCUACUUCAAGCAGAUACCAAAGGCUGGUGAAGUUGGAUCCUCCACCAUGCCUCACAAAAUCAAUCCCAUCAACUUUGAAAAUAGUGAAGGCAAUCUUAGCGUGUCGAAUGGUCUUUUAUGUACUUUAAGUAUGAAGCUACCAAUAUCAAGGUUGCAGCGUGAUCUCACAGAUUCAACUGUUUUGAGAAACUUGGGUGUUGGAUUAGGGCAUUCACUCUUGGCUUACAAAGCAACAAUGCAGGGAAUCAAGAAGCUAGAGGUGAACAAAGUCCGUUUGGAUGAGGACUUGGAGCAAACAUGGGAAGUCCUUGCAGAGCCAAUACAGACUGUGAUGCGAAGGUAUGGGAUCCCCGAACCCUUUGAGAAACUGAAGGAAAUGACUAGAGGCCAGGCUGUAACCAAAGACAGCAUACGCAAGUUCAUUGAAGGUCUUGACCUGCCGGAGGAUGCGCAGUCAAGUCUUUUGAAGUUAACACCACACUCUUACACUGGAGAGGCGGAGAAUCUGGCUGCAAAUAUUUGGAAUGUGGUUGACCUGAAAUCUGGAUUUAAGAUCAAGUGA